UUUAACUUGGGUAGGCUUCAAGCAAACACCGAGGCAAAGAUAUUUGCAUAACAAGCUGUACCAUAUUCUGGUUGUGUUUGGUUUUUAUAGUUGUGUUAUGUAGAUCUCUAAUAUUCUGGUUUCUUGUUUAUAAUUUAGGUUUGUGUAUAACCAAAACUACUUUAACUUCAUUGAAAAGCAAAUAGAUACAAGGAUCUUUUUGCUUUUCAA
RNAcentral lists this unclassified non-coding RNA (210 nucleotides) under Hevea brasiliensis (rubber tree). Lineage: Eukaryota; Viridiplantae; Streptophyta; Magnoliopsida; Malpighiales; Euphorbiaceae. The record is from RNAcentral.